RNAcentral lists this unclassified non-coding RNA (187 nucleotides) under Glomeraceae sp. Its description in RNAcentral is "partial contains 5.8S ribosomal RNA and internal transcribed spacer 2". The stretch from base 1 to 71 matches the Rfam family "5.8S ribosomal RNA", at positions 84 to 154 of the family's 154-position model. Lineage: Eukaryota; Fungi; Glomeromycota; Glomeromycetes; Glomerales; Glomeraceae. The record is from RNAcentral.
GUGAAUCAUCGAAUUUUUGAACGCAAAUUGCACUCCCUGGUAUUCCGGGGAGUAUGCCUGUUUGAGGGUCGUUAAAAUAAAAAAUCGCAGCGUCCCUCUUUUUUUUAAGGGUUGUCGCGUCGGGAUUGGACCGUCUUUCAUAUGUUACUUUAUGUCGAAGUGGCUUAAAUUUCAUACAUCCGGUACG